UGAUCGAUUGAUAUCAUGUGACAGGUAAAAAAGCUAUUGGAGAUCUGAUCUCUUGCGAUGGCCAUUUGAUCCGUCAUGAGCUGCUCAAGGUAAAAAUUGCUGCGGUUAAAUUUAGGGAUACUCGUGAUGCUCGGAGGGUCGAGCUUCGAUAUGGAUAAAGGGCAUGAACGGGCAAUGAUGAUCUAGUGGUGGGCAUGAAUGCAACCCACCACCCACCCUCAUGCAUGAACACAUCUUUCAAGAAGCGGCCCCAUCCUUGUCCUUGCACAAUCAAAACUGAGGAGGUGAGCAUGGCCUGCAUGUGGAGGCAGAGAAUGAUUUGACCAGUUCUCGUAGAAAGUUGGAGAAAAGGAGACUGUGUCGGGGGGUACUACAAAGGCACCCUAAGGUUGUGGACCUCGAUGACACCAUCGCCUCGCCUUGACCUUUAAUGGAGCUGUAAGGGCACUGGCAAAAACCAUGGCAGGUUUAAGCGGUGUCAGGAACAAGGAUAAGAAUGACCAACAGGAAAAGGUUUAGAUAGAGAGCGAGAGAGAGAGAGAGAGAGAGACAUCCAUAUCCAACAUGUCCUACUUGAUUGAUCCCCCGAGAAGCUGCUGUUUACCUGGAAGUCCUCAGAAACUGGAAGCCAACUUGUUCAGACUAUGAAAGUAGAUAUAGCAAAUGUUGAUUGAACUACAGGCUUAUAUUCUCUUUGCGCUGAAGAUUUCCUUGGCGUGUGUUUCUUCUUCCAACAGUAUCGACAAGAAGCGGAAGAGAGAGAGAGAGAAACUUGGGUGGAAAGGAAGGAAAGGUAAAGGUUGGAUCUGUAACCAUGGAAAGAAGAGCAAUAAUAAUUACACGCGACGAAUAGCAUUGGCACUUACAGGUUGACAACAGGAACUCGAAACAACAAUGUCUGUGAGAUUCAUCAGAAAAUGGAAGGAGGAUUCAUCCUCUUGUUGUGGCUGAAACAAGUCAACCUUUUCUAUACAGAAGCAUUAGAU
This 986-nucleotide long non-coding RNA is filed under the name Musa acuminata (dwarf banana). RNAcentral's name for it is "long non-coding RNA (MACU_LNC002314)". The record is from RNAcentral. Lineage: Eukaryota; Viridiplantae; Streptophyta; Magnoliopsida; Zingiberales; Musaceae.